GUAGGCUAUGGAGAUAUCUACCCAAAAACUCUACUGGGAAAGAUAGUUGGGGGUUUGUGCUGCAUUGCUGGUGUACUUGUGAUUGCACUACCUAUUCCAAUUAUCGUAAAUAAC
Non-coding RNA from Takifugu rubripes (torafugu), 114 nucleotides. The record is from Rfam. NCBI's taxonomy places the organism in Eukaryota, Metazoa, Chordata, Actinopteri, Tetraodontiformes, Tetraodontidae.